RNAcentral lists this long non-coding RNA (199 nucleotides) under Panax ginseng (ginseng). RNAcentral describes it as "long non-coding RNA (PGIN_LNC004426)". Lineage: Eukaryota; Viridiplantae; Streptophyta; Magnoliopsida; Apiales; Araliaceae. The record is from RNAcentral.
AUGAAGUCCAGCGCCGGGGCGCUGGAAAUUGUACUAUCCUCAGCGCCGGGGCGCUGAGCCUCGGCUGGCGUUGACCGGAUUAGCGCGUUUGACUUCUGGUUGGACUUAAUUUGUCUAUUAAGGGCUAAUAAUAAAACCUAAUUGGAGAAGGAUUGUGGGGGACUAUAAAAAGAAACUAAUUGCUGAAUUAAAANNNNNN